GAUGAAGAACGCAGCGAAAUGCGAUAAGUAAUGUGAAUUGCAGAAUUCAGUGAAUCAUCGAAUCUUUGAACGCACCUUGCGCUCCUUGGUAUUCCGAGGAGCAUGCCUGUUUGAGUGUCAUGAAAUUCUCAACCUUUUCAGCUUUCUUUGUUGAUCAGGCUUGGAUGUGGGAGUAUGCGGGCUUCUCAGAAGUCGGCUCUCCUGAAAUGCAUUAGCGGGACCUUUGUUGCCUGGCUUUGGUGUGAUAAUUAGCUACGCCAUUGUAGUCAAGCAGCUUAAAAUGAGGUUUCAGCUUCUAACCGUCUCCCCUGAGACAACUUUUUGACAAUUUGACCUCAAAUCAGGUAGGACUACCCGCUGAACUUAAGCAUAUCAAUAAGCGGAGGA
RNAcentral lists this unclassified non-coding RNA (387 nucleotides) under soil metagenome. RNAcentral describes it as "partial contains 5.8S ribosomal RNA, internal transcribed spacer 2, and large subunit ribosomal RNA". The stretch from base 1 to 120 matches the Rfam family "5.8S ribosomal RNA", at positions 35 to 154 of the family's 154-position model. The record is from RNAcentral.